RNAcentral lists this ribosomal RNA (460 nucleotides) under uncultured bacterium. RNAcentral describes it as "partial 16S ribosomal RNA". It matches the Rfam family "Bacterial small subunit ribosomal RNA", at positions 338 to 795 of the family's 1533-position model. The record is from RNAcentral.
CCUACGGGAGGCAGCAGUGGGGAAUAUUGGGCAAUGGGCGCAAGCCUGACCCAGCAACGCCGCGUGCAGGAAGACGGCUCUAUGAGUUGUAAACUGCUUUUGUACAAGGGUAAACCUGAAUACGUGUAUUCAGCUGAAAGUACUGUACGAAUAAGGAUCGGCUAACUCCGUGCCAGCAGCCGCGGUAAUACGGAGGAUCCAAGCGUUAUCCGGAUUUAUUUGGUUAAAAGGGUGCGUAGGCGGAUUGAUAAGUUAGAGGUGAAAUGUCCGAGCUUAACUCGGGAACUGCCUCUAAUACUGUUGAUCUAGAGAGUAGAUGCGGUAGGCGGAAUGUAUGGUGUAGCGGUGAAAUGCUUAGAGAUCAUACAGAACACCGAUUGCGAAGGCAGCUUACCAAUCUCUAUCUGACGUUGAGGCACGAAAGCGUGGGGAGCAAACAGGAUUAGAUACCCCAGUAGUC